UUAAAUAUAUUAGUAUGGCUAGGUAAGUUGUAUGAUAAAUUAAACAGUAUCACUAUUAAACUUUUGAAAAGUGAAGUAGUAGUUAGGGAAGAAGAAUUCCCAUCUUGAAGUUUGUUUCAAGUGUACAUACAUAAACCAUAUGGAGUAUGGUGAGGAUAAAACCAAACCAUGUGAAAAUACAUUAAAGUUUCCAAGAACAUGGAGGGGCCACCAAGAUAGAUAGAAUCCAAGGUACAUGAACACUUUUUUUUUUUACUCGGUGUCUGAAAUCCAUAUUGAAGUCCCAACUAAAUUAGAAUCACGCUCUAGGAACAUGCCUCAUUUGAGAGUGACAUUCC
RNAcentral lists this long non-coding RNA (338 nucleotides) under Solanum tuberosum (potato). RNAcentral's name for it is "long non-coding RNA (STUB_LNC002113)". The record is from RNAcentral. Lineage: Eukaryota; Viridiplantae; Streptophyta; Magnoliopsida; Solanales; Solanaceae.